UUGUAUAUGGAUGUUUGUAUUUCUACAAACAAAUUGCGGCAAAGAAGGGGAAGGAAAUGUUCUCAAGGUGGAGCUCUAGCAAGAGACCAGCAUUUGGACAAUGCGGUAAACAGAUCUCAAUCUAACAUAACAAGCAUCACUGCCCAUUCAUGAUUAGGAGUAUCUUGUUGAGCUGAGAUAUGCAUGAAAAUGGAAAGCAAUCGAGUUGAAAUCCUCACUGGCUUUUCAAAAUCUGAUGAGGAACAAAAGUAUGAGAAAACACAUGGAGAAUGACCUUAUCAUCUUCCAACAACUCGAGAAAUGCAUGCUCUGAUGUGUUGAAGUUGAAGAUUUCGAGAAAGAAUGAAAGCUGUAGCAGAAAACAUAGGGCUGAGAUCUCUCCAAGAUGAUUUUGGGGAGGUUUGCCAAUUGACCUUAGUGAAAUCGAAAAAGAAAAAUAGUUCAUUUGUGUUUGGAGGGGCAGCCUUCAUCUGAUCUGACCACAUGGAAAAGCUCUCUGUGUUGAUGAAGAAUUCUUCAUCUCAAACAAGAUAAACUGAUGUUAAACACUGGGGGCACGUCUUUGUUUGGUUUUCUUGCAAGAAAAACAACGUUAAACUGAUGAUAAACUGAUGUUAAAGCUCGUAUUGUUGAAGUUCAAUUUCCUCUUGUCCCGCAUUGAAAGAUUAUAGCUUUAUCUAUGAAUCCUUCAAGGGUAGCCAGUUUGAUACUGAUUGUUGUUUCCAACAAAAGCUUUGUCUAUACACAUUUUCGUCGAAUGUUACAUAUAUUCAAUGUUUCCAUACAUUUCAAGAAUUUUGACAAGCAAACGGUCAUUCAUUGAAGUUCAAUAUGAAAUCUUCUGAGGUUGUCUAUGCUA
Molecule: non-coding RNA, 859 nt
Organism: Prunus mume (Japanese apricot)
Lineage: Eukaryota; Viridiplantae; Streptophyta; Magnoliopsida; Rosales; Rosaceae
Source: RefSeq, a predicted model, not a curated record